This 1184-nucleotide long non-coding RNA is filed under the name Felis catus (domestic cat). RNAcentral describes it as "lncRNA (ENSFCAG00000048995.1)". Lineage: Eukaryota; Metazoa; Chordata; Mammalia; Carnivora; Felidae. The record is from RNAcentral.
AAUUCUGCUGUCCAGUGGCCUCACUUUUACUUCACACAUUACAUUUUUCAUUUCUAAAAUCUCCUUUUGGCUCUGUGUUUAUGAUUUCUAUCUCGCUCCUCAGAAUUGCUAUCUUUCCUUCACUUCACAUGUGUUCAAUUCCACUUUGUGGAGGGCGAUCAUAGUUGUUUUAAAGCCUGGUAACUUCAACAUCUGGAUCAUCUCCGAGUAGGCAUCUGUUGAUUGUGUUUUGAGAAUUGGUCGUAGUUUCCUGCUCCUUUGUCUGCUGAGUAAUUCUGGAUUGUAUUCUGGACAUUUUGAAUAUACACUGUAUUGUGAAACUCCAGGUCCUAUUAAAGUCCUCCGUACAAUGGUGACUUUUUACAUUUUUAGUUGGCCAGACACCCAGAACUCCAAGAUGGCAUCAUCUGCACCAGUGAAGAUGAAAAAGCUCACGGAUGGUAAACUAGCAGAGUUGCCAGACUGUAUACUGAUGAGGGAUUUCACCCCUAACGUCACUGUUGGAGUGUUUCAAAGAGGUUGCUACUGUAUUACAGCAGAAAUGAAAAGCAUGAUGAAUAGCAACCAAACAGACUCCGAGACAAAUAGACUUGGGCUUGAAUCCGGCACGGCCACCGUCCACCGUGAGACUUGGUAAACUACAUAACCCUGCUAUAUUUAUACGCCAUUUUCUUUCGUGUGUAAAUUUCUGUAAUCUUUUAGUGGCUUCAGAAAAGCCCCAGAAUGAUAAUUUCUUGCUUUGCUUGAAUAAGGAUAGGUAGGAUUCCUAGGAUGAAAUGUAUAAUUAUGCAGUCAUCAAGUAAGGAAAAGAGGAGCUAGGCUGACUAGAACUGAGAAUGUAGGAGAAGAUGAGGUUAAAAUCGGCAGCGACUGUCCUGGUUUAGACAAUAUAUGGCCAAGUUCAAGUCACCGGCAGAGGCACCAAAAGGCAGAGAUAUACCCAAGUCCAGGCAACCAGAGUCAAUUAUCAGGAGUUCCACAGACUAGAUGAAGCAAGUGGUGGAGUAGGGGGGAAAGGGUGGAAUUUCUGAUUCUAGAACAAACUUUUGCUUUUUAUCUAUUUUCUGCUAUGUGCUGCUUCUGUGAAGCCCUGCGCCUUUGGGUGUUAGUUCGAGCCAGGAAGAGAUCAAAAAAGAGAUCAUAAAAGCCUAUCUUUGAGGAGAAUAAAGGAUUAGGUUACCUCA